CAGCGGAGGGAUCAUUACAGAGUUGCAAAACUCCCUAAACCAUUGUGAACGUUACCUAAACCGUUGCUUCGGCGGGCGGCCCCGGGGUUCUCCCCGGGCGCCCCUGGGCCCCAUCGCGGGCGCCCGCCGGAGGUCACCAAACUCUUGAUAAUUUAUGGCCUCUCUGAGUCUUCUGUACUGAAUAAGUCAAAACUUUCAACAACGGAUCUCUUGGUUCUGGCAUCGAUGAAGAACGCAGCGAAAUGCGAUAAGUAAUGUGAAUUGCAGAAUUCAGUGAAUCAUCGAAUCUUUGAACGCACAUUGCGCCCGCCAGUAUUCUGGCGGGCAUGCCUGUUCGAGCGUCAUUUCAACCAUCAAGCCCCCGGCUUGUGUUGGGGACCUGCGGCUGCCGCAGGCCCUGAAAAGCAGUGGCGGGCUCGCUGUCACACCGAGCGUAGUAGCAUACAUCUCGCUCUGGGCGUGCUGCGGGUUCCGGCCGUUAAACCACCUUCAUAACCCAAGGUUGACCUCGGAUCAGGUAGGAAGACCCGCUGAACUUAAGCAUA
RNAcentral lists this ribosomal RNA (545 nucleotides) under Chaetomium sp. P295_D2_4. RNAcentral's name for it is "eukaryotic LSU rRNA". The stretch from base 191 to 344 matches the Rfam family "5.8S ribosomal RNA". The record is from RNAcentral. Lineage: Eukaryota; Fungi; Ascomycota; Sordariomycetes; Sordariales; Chaetomiaceae.